Molecule: non-coding RNA, 129 nt
Organism: Cajanus cajan (pigeon pea)
Lineage: Eukaryota; Viridiplantae; Streptophyta; Magnoliopsida; Fabales; Fabaceae
Source: Rfam
AAACAUUCAGGGGUCUGUUGUCUAUGUGAGCAGUCCUCCCUAUAGCUUCAGGGAUAUAGUAUCCAUUGUUUUUGGGUGAACCUGUGUACCCUUUCUGUGACUGAAGGUUCAGUAAAUGAUGGAAGAUGA